This 238-nucleotide unclassified non-coding RNA is filed under the name Hevea brasiliensis (rubber tree). The record is from RNAcentral. Lineage: Eukaryota; Viridiplantae; Streptophyta; Magnoliopsida; Malpighiales; Euphorbiaceae.
AACUUUUCACUCCCUAUCAGUAAAUAUCUAGAAUGAUUCACAUUUUGCAAAAAUACACCAUAUAAUUAUUAACACAGAUCACCUCAUUUAUUAAAGAUGCAUACUCAACAAUUAAACAAUACAAGAAUCAUCAUCGCAACAUUGUACAAAGUGUUAAAUUUUACAAUUUUGUUUGGCAUUACAAGACAUGUAUGGUUAAGAAAGGAAGAAAAAUUCCACAGCUAAAAUUUCAAAAGCA